This is a long non-coding RNA of Felis catus (domestic cat), 2790 nucleotides long. RefSeq lists it as uncharacterized. The transcript is spliced from 2 exons. The record is from RefSeq and is a predicted model, not a curated record. Lineage: Eukaryota; Metazoa; Chordata; Mammalia; Carnivora; Felidae.
AUUGAGGUUUACUAAAAUUUUUGUUGUUGUUGGUCUCUGGUACCUGGAAUAAUCUUCCUAUCACGUCUUUGGUGAUAUAACUUCAGUCAUAAUCUUUUACUACUACAGAUAAUGAUGCACUUUGGCUAAGCGGCUUAAUAACAACCAUACUUUACAUUUCUGUGGCCUUUGCCUGUUCCAGUGUAGGAUUAUUAUUCUCCUUAUACCUUGGAGAAAACUGAAGCUCACAGGGCUGACCAGCUGUGAAGCACAGACUUACACUUGUCUGUCUGGGUUUAAAUCCUGGCUCGUCAAAUAUGUGACUGGGGGCAAGUUACUUCACUUAUUAGGCUUCAUUGUCUCCAUCAGGAAAGUGGGGGUAAUGACAGCACCUGCCUUACUGGUUGUUGUGACAACUUGAAUCAGUUAAUAUAUGUUAGAUACUUAGUGCCUGGCACGUAGUAAUACUACAUCUAGGUCAGCAGUUGGACCUAGAUUUUUAGGUUGCACCUGGUACCAGUUCCUUUCAUCACGGUUGUGCUUCACUUAUGUCUCAUCUCACCCCUUCCUAUGGUGGUGCUAGAAGAAUGGGAUACUAGACCAGAGGGAAAAGAAGCAUGUUCUUAUGAUGUAACUUCUACAGCUUCUUAAAUUGAAAACCAUCUAGGUGAUAACAAUGUCAGUGGCAACAAUUUAUUUAGUAAGGCAUCCAACGGGCCAGGCUCAGUACCACCUGCUUUACAUGCACCUUUCUACUCAAUCCUCAUAGCAGAUAUAUUUAUCCUCAUUUUACAAAUGGGGAAAUGGAGACAGCAAGAGAUUGUGCCUCUAAUCAGAGGACAGUGAUAGGUAUCAAAAGGAAGUUUCACAUCUGACUUAAUAAUGGUAUCCUUGGAAUGAAACAGGAAUGUGCUUAAUCACAUCAAGUGAUCUGAUACUCAGAGCUCAUGUUCAUCCAUUACCUAUGAUUUAUGUUCUGGAGCUCAUGUACUUAUUCAGAAGUAGUGGCAGGUAGCAUGGGGGUGAUGGAGGGAUCAGGAUUACAGGAUGUAGGUAAUGACAGUAGCAAGCAGGUUGUGGGAUGACAUGACAGCACAGGAGGAAGGAGGAGAAAUUUUAAAAGCAUACCUAAUAACUUAAAAACAUUCCACUCUCUGACAUUUCAGAGAAGGAAAGGUAGCCCUACACACCUCAAUAGUCCCUUAAAGCUUCAAUGUCUGCUUUUACUGAAGUCAUGAAUGUUCAUAACAGUGGCAGGAUUUCAUCCAGAAAAUGUGAGAUUCUGCUUUGUGUCUUCUUUCUAUUAUACUUUUUGGAAAGUGUUUACCCCCAAAUGGUAAAUAACCAUUUUGGUGUUAAAGGGGUAAGCUACAAUUAUUUGGAAUGUUUCCAUACUUAAAAAUUUUUUGUUUUUGUUUUUAAGUAGGCUUCAUGCCCAGCACAGAGCCCAGUAUGGGCCUUGGCCUUGAACUCACAACCGUGUGAUCAAGACCUGAACUAAGAGCAAGAGUCAGAUGCCUAACCAAGGUGCCCAAGAACCCCAACCACACUCUAUUUGAAAUCUACCCUUUGGAGCAGUAAGGAUGACUGAAUUCAGAAGUCUGGUGAGCCUGAGGGUUCAGCAUGACUAAUAAUUUGGAUCAAACAACAGCAUUUUAGAAGUAUCUUGAACAUUUUUUUUUUGUCUCAAUGACAUCAAUGGAUCAAUAGAUCAGCUCCUGUUCAGUGUUCUUCUUUGAAAAAUCAUCAAUGUCUUCUCAGCUCAUCAUUAUUAAGUACAUUUGCAAUUUGUUUGUGAAAUAUAACCCUGUGUUAUAGGCUUUUCCCUUCUUUGCCCAAUUGAGUUAUUUCAAUGUGAUUAUAGCCACUGAUCCCUUCCAGGCUGGGUAAUCAAGUUCUUUACCAUCACGGGCAAGUUGUGUUUUGUUGUGUUAGUAAGUGACUGAAGGCUGUUCACAGGGCAGGGUGGAAUCAGGGUUAGCUCAGUUUUCCUACUCCUUAAAUGUCAGUGCUUGCCAUCUUCAUUAAGUAUCAUGAGAAAAUAUCUUAAUACACACCAACAAUCAACAGAACCACUGGAUUCUAUUCCUGAAGUUGAUAGAGUUUGGACAAGUCACAAUCUCUGCAUUAUGACUUCAUCCCUUUUAAAGUAGAAUUCUAUCAUUGCAGUUCCCCUCCUGUCACUAGGGAUGCAGUAAAGAUAAAUGAGGUGAUCUAUGCUGAAUAUGUGGAAGUCCUUGAAAGAGGCUGUAUCAACUGGUGCACAAUAUGCAUGAAUGUGACCUCUGGGACAGAUUCAGUCAUCACAGAGUCAGCAUCUACUUUGGGUUCAUCAUCUGUUUCUUGUGCCACUUAUGGUAUCUUGUUAUCUCCCACACCAACCCUUUGAAGUAUGGAUUAUUACUAUCCAUUCAUGGAUGAAGAAAUUGAAGGUCAAAGGAUAUAAAUGACAAACUUAGCACACUACAGGAAUAUGUGGUGGAGACCGUCUAUAGGAACCAAGAUCUUUCACAAGUUUAUUUUCUACACAGGAGCCGCUUUCUAUCAAAUGUUCUGUAAGGAAGGUCACUGGGAUUAAGAGUGAGAGAAGGCUCCUGAAGCUAAAAGGAUGAUCCUCUACUAUGAUCCUCUACUACUCUCUGUUUUAUAGUCUUGUUUUUUUAAUAGAAUUGGAAAGAAAAGUAAAGCUUCUCUCUUUCUUAGGUAAAAAUGACCAGAAAUGUGCAAGGGAAGAAAUGGUUACAGCUUAGCUAGGUUGACGCAAUAAAAUGGCUAUAAUACUUUUAAAAUAAAAUAUUUAUACCCCAUCAA